RNAcentral lists this ribosomal RNA (563 nucleotides) under uncultured bacterium. RNAcentral's name for it is "bacterial SSU rRNA". It matches the Rfam family "Bacterial small subunit ribosomal RNA", at positions 338 to 917 of the family's 1533-position model. The record is from RNAcentral.
CCUACGGGAGGCAGCAGUGGGGAAUAUUGGACAAUGGGCGAAAGCCUGAUCCAGCAAUGCCGCGUGUGUGAAGAAGGCCUGCGGGUUGUAAAGCACUUUCAGUUGGCAAGAUGAUGACGUUACCAACAGAAGAAGCACCGGCUAAAUCCGUGCCAGCAGCCGCGGUAAUACGGAUGGUGCGAGCGUUAAUCGGAAUUACUGGGCGUAAAGCGCGCGUAGGCGGCUAAGUCAGUCAGAAGUGAAAGCCCCGGGCUCAACCUGGGAAUUGCUUUUGAUACUGCUUAGCUAGAGUUUGGUAGAGGAUAGUGGAAUUCCAGGUGUAGCGGUGAAAUGCGUAGAUAUCUGGAGGAACAUCAGUGGCGAAGGCGACUGUCUGGACCAAAACUGACGCUGAGGUGCGAAAGCGUGGGUAGCAAACAGGAUUAGAUACCCUGGUAGUCCACGCCGUAAACGAUGUCAACUAGCCGUCGGGUCUAUUUACAGACUUGGUGGCGCAGCUAACGCGAUAAGUUGACCGCCUGGGGAGUACGGCCGCAAGGUUAAAACUCAAAGGAAUUGACGGA